CGGGUAAUGCCGGGAACUAUAGAGAAACUGUUAGUGAUAAACUAAAGGAAGAUGGGGAUGAGGUCAGGUCAUCACGACCCUUAUGGGUUGGGCCACACAUAUGUUACAAUGGGAGUUACAAAGGGGUGCAAUGGAGUGAUCCGGAGCAAAUCCUCAAAGGCUCUCUCAGUUCGGAUUGCAGACUGCAACUCGUCUGCAUGAAGUUGGAAUCGCUAGUAAUCGUAGAUCAGCAUGCUACGGUGAAUACGUUCUCGGGUCUUGUACACACCGCCCGUCAAGCUAUGGAAGUUCUUUUUACCCGAAUUACAUGAGUUAACCGCAAGGAGACAGUGUAACACGGUAGUGGGAAUGACUGGAGUUAAGUCGUAACAAGGUAGCCGUAGGAGAACCUGCGGCUGGAUUACCUCCUUU
Molecule: ribosomal RNA, 411 nt
Filed under: Rickettsiales bacterium
Lineage: Bacteria; Pseudomonadati; Pseudomonadota; Alphaproteobacteria; Rickettsiales
Description: bacterial SSU rRNA
Rfam family: Bacterial small subunit ribosomal RNA
Source: RNAcentral